ACACGUGGAGAGAGGAAUAGCUAACCAGACAGCGGAUAGACGUGCAGCAGCAAGGAUCUUGUGAGAUAAGCUUUUUUUAUUUUUCUUUGAAUAUAAAUCUAACCAAAAGCUUAAAUUACUACCAUCAAAAACUAUUUUGUAUAGAUUAACAUAGUAGACUUCGGUGGUUUGCAGCCUCUGGUUUUACACGAACCCCUUCUGUUGUCAUUCAAAACACGUCAGAGAAAAUGGCGGAACUUGAAAAAGACGCAGGACUACCCCAACCAAUGCAGGAGAACCGAGAUGAAGAGGAUCCGGGCAAUUCCAUGGUAGAGGAGAUGGACACCUCAGAAGACAUGCAAGAUGACAACCUGAUCAAGCGGGACCACUUCCACAGUUCUAAUAAUGAACAGCAAGAUGGACAUUUGGUAGUUAGGAGGAAUGUAAUAUUAGAACGAACUAAAUUCAACCAAAGACAACAAGAAGCAGGAGAGACAGCUGAUGAUUUUAUCACUGCACUUCAUGGUUUGUCAGAACAUUGCGGUUAUGGAGCUCUGCUCAGUGAGAUGAUAAGAGACAGACUAGUCGCAGGCUUACAUGACAGAAGAUUGUCCAAGCAAUUACAAUUUGACCCAGAACUAACACUGGAUAAAGCUGUCACACGCAUUCGUCAAACUGAACUUGUGAAAAAGCCACAGGACCUGCCGGAGUAUACCUUCAAAGCUACCAGCAAUGCAGCAAAUGUAGAGAGUGUGCUUUCACAUAGCAAACAGCAAAGCCCAGCCAAUGUCCAGUGCCAAUCAGAGAAGAAUCAAAACUCAGAAAGACCACAACAACCUCAAACAGCGCAGGAGAAUGCAGAAGAUCCCCUAGAUUUUAAUGACACUGAUGGCUUCAGUCCUGGAGGAGAAAAGCCUCACUACUGCGCCUACUGUGGUAGGAGCUUUCAAAAAGUAAGGGAUCUUAUAAGACACCAGCGAACACAUACUGGAGAGAAGCCUCACAACUGCUCUGAUUGCAACAGAAGUUUUGCUCGAUUAGAUAAUCUCAAGUCACACCAAAAAAUACAUGUGAAAGACAAACAUCAUUUUCACUCCACUAAAUGUGUGGAAAGCUUUGUCCUAUUGGAGAAGCUUGAAAAACACCUGCUAGAGAAUAUCUUCAAAGCUACCAGCAGUGCAGCAAAUGUAGACAGUGUGCCUGAACUUGGUAAAAAUCAGCACCCAGAAAGACUACUGCCCCAAACAACUCUGGAGAACAGAGAGAAGCCUCAUCAUGAUACUUCCGAUGACCCUAUUGUGAGUUCUAAUGGAGGUGAGAGGCGUCAUCCCUGCUCCGACUGUGGGAAGAACUUUACACGAGUUUAUCAUCUUAAAAGACACCAACGAACACAUACGGGAGAGAAGCCUCAUCGCUGCUCUGAUUGUGGCAAAAGUUAUUCUCAGUCGUAUGAUCUGAAAAUACACCACCAGCGAAAGCAUAUGAAAGGGAAAUACUUCCACUGCAAUCAUUGUGAAGAACGUUUCUCCAAACCAGAGGAUCUGAACACACACAUGCAUGUACAUGCUGGAGAAAAGCCAUACCUUUGUCCAGACUGUGGGAAGAGAUUCCAGUUGUUAAAUGCAUUUGAAAUGCACCAACAAAAACAUACUUUGGGGCUUCUUGAGUGCUCUUAUUGUGGUAAAAGUUUUUCUAAGGUGGAUAAACUUAAACUACACCAGCGAACGCAUACGGGAGAGAAACAUUUUCGCUGCCCUGACUGUGGGAAAAGUUUUACCCGCUCGGAUCUUCUGAAAAGUCACCAGAGGACACAUAAGAAAGAGGGUGAUUGUCUGUACUGUGAUAAAAGCUUUUUUGAACCUGGAGAACUAAAAAUACACAUGGAAGUACAUAGUCAAGAAAGGCCUCACCUUUGCCCCAACUGUGGGAAGAGAUUCAAACUGUUAUGGUCGUUGAAAAAGCACCAGCGAAAACACACAGAGAAGAUCUCACCAAGGGAAAAGCGUCACCACUGUUCCGACUGCAACAAGAGUUUUACUCGCGGAUAUCAUCUUAAAAGACAUCGGGAAACACACACAGGAGAAAAGCCUUUCCACUGCUCUAAUUGUGACAAAAGCUUUGCAGGAAAGGAGAGGCUUAAACAACAUCAACUAACACACAAGGAAAAGAAACGUCACCGCUGUUCAAGGUGUGAUAAAAGAUUUCCUGACAUGGCAAAACUACGAUCACACCUUCCAGUACAUUCCGUAGAACUGGCACUCCACUGUUCUGACUGUGGAAAGUAUUUCUUAAACAAGGCAAAGUUUGAAAGACACCAAAAAAUACACACUGGAAGUGGAAAAAUACCAUUCCUCUGCACUGACUGCGGGGAGGGUUUUACAAAUUUGCGUCAGUUGGAAGACCACCAGCGAACACACACUGGGGAGAAACCGUACUGCUGCAUUGAUUGCGGAAAGAGUUUUGCACAUGAAAAAACAUUUAAGUGUCACAAGCAAGCACACAAGUUCAAACUUUCUGGAGAAAGAGCAGCCUAUCCUUGCUCGGAAUGUGGAAAUACUUUUUCUCGUUCAUGUGAUGUGAUGAGUCAUGUGAGAAGGGUGCAUAAUAAAGAGAGACCUUUCCAGUGCUCCUGCUGUGGAAAAAGAUUUUUCCAAAAGAACUCACUCACAAUACACAUGAGAAUGCACACCGGAGAGAAACCGUACCACUGCUCAGAAUGUGGACAAAGCUUCUCCCAAAUGAACGACAGAAAACGCCACCAGAAGAGGCAACACUCUGGAGAGGAGACUUGAUCUCUAUACUAGUGUGGAAGGCACAGUCAGAAACACUCAAUAAGAAAGGACUACAACAGAAACACACACAUACAAUAUUGUAUCAGUCUUUAUUCCAGGUUUAUUUUUGUCAUAUCCUUGAAAUGAUCUUGUAUCAACAGUAAAGUUUAUUUCACAAA
Oncorhynchus nerka (sockeye salmon) is the source of this 2929-nucleotide long non-coding RNA. RefSeq lists it as uncharacterized. Lineage: Eukaryota; Metazoa; Chordata; Actinopteri; Salmoniformes; Salmonidae. The record is from RefSeq and is a predicted model, not a curated record. The transcript has 2 exons.